Molecule: long non-coding RNA, 3328 nt
Organism: Poecilia latipinna (sailfin molly)
Lineage: Eukaryota; Metazoa; Chordata; Actinopteri; Cyprinodontiformes; Poeciliidae
Exons: 2
Source: RefSeq, a predicted model, not a curated record
GUUAAGGAUUAAACGAAGAUAAUGAGACAACUGAAGUAGGAAAUUGUAAACACAAACAUAAAAUGUAGCUGUAUUUAUGUACAGGACAGUCUCUAACUGGUCUGGAGGAAUAAUGAAGUGUAAAAUCUGAGUUUACACUAAUGACUAUGGCUGUGGGAAGCAGUGACAUAUUUAUAUGGAUUAUUUCAGUCAGUGUCUUGUAAGAGAUCUAUUACUGUGGUCAUUUAUUACAAACAGAAUAGCUUGUAAGUUUACAUUGCCAAAAGUGGUUAAUUUCCUUUUAGAGUCAAGUUCUGUGGGAACAGAGGGAUUAUUUAACCUCUGAGUUUUAUGCAUAGCUACAAUAAUUUCCUGUGGUGAAAUAUUAUUUGUAUUUUUUCAUGUAUUCAUUUAAAACACUGUUGUAAGCCUAGGACUCCAGACUCCAAUUACCAUGGUUCAAGUAGACCAUAAACCAUAAAAAGACCGUCCAAUACUAAAGUCAAUAUUAAAUGACAAUGUAACUAUUAGGUUUAAAAAUGGAAGCUUGAAUAAAUAAGAUAGCAGACUAGUGGGUAACAAAAUCACUCUAAUCUUACGAGACUGUAAGAUUUGUGUAAAAACAAUUAUCACUAUGAAUUUCUGCCAAGUAGGACAUUAGCAUUUCUGAACAAAACCUCUAUGUACCUGUCUGAAAUUCAAGUAGCAAACACAUUCAUGAAGCAGUGGUAGAUGUACAGUAAAAAGAAAAGAAAAAAAUAUUCUGAGGCAGUCAAAAACAGGUUGUUGCUACAAUUGUUUGGUACCUUUUAUUAACCUUUUUUUUUUUUUUUUUUUUUUUAGAAAAUUCAGCUUUAUGGAAAUUGAUUACCAAAGAUGAAAGCCAUCUUGAGGCUGUGAGCUGAAGAUUAAAGCAAACAAGCAGCUUUUUAUUAUUGGAGAUACAAAAACAAUAUUGUCACAGAAGACCUAUCCAUCCAACCGUUGGUUAUCUGAGAUCAGGUCAAUGGGCUAAUAGGUCUGUUGGGAAACCUAGAUGUCCACUUUCCCAACAACACUCUCCAGUUCGUUCUGAGGUGUCCCUAGGCAUUCCCAGGUCAGAAGGGAUGCAUCGCCCCUACACCUUUGUGAUUCUGCCCUGGGAUUCCCCUUCAAAGGAGAGGAUACCUAGGAGGCACCUUAACUCACCCUUCUGGUUGACUGUGACCCAUACCCUAAACCAAAGUCAUCUUUUGAAGGAAGCCCAUUUCAAUCACUAAAAUCUAGUUCUUUCUUCACCACAACAGACCAUGGCAACCCAUCAUCAAUGUAUGAGCUGCUAAUCCUUCCAUCCAUCUCUUGCUCCAUCCCAUUAUCACUUGUGAACAAGACACCAAGACACUUAAACUAAUCCUCUGAAGGCAUACACUGAUGCCUAAACUGGAGAGAAGUAUUCACCUUUUCCUGGAUAUGAUCCAUGGUCUCAGACAGGAAAUAUCAUUCUAGCUAAUUCAAACUUGGAUGCAUCAAACUUUAGUGAAUGUCUAAAAUUUGUUGACAUUCACUAAGAUCCCAACAGGACCAAAAAGCAAAAUGCCAAGAUGAAACCCCAGAGAUUGCCUAAUCAGACACCCUUCUCUCCACAACUAUCCUUUCAGAUCCUGCCAGUGAACACCACAAACAAGAUCAGUGCCAGCCCUGGUUGAGGCCAGCCUGCACUUGAAACAAGCUUAACAUAGUGCUGAUGGUGCAGACACAGCUCUUGUGUUGAUUGAAGGACAACAGUACCCUGUUCUCUGACAGGACCCAAUACAAAAUGUUUUGGCAGACACAGUCGAAUGGCAUGUCAAGGUCCAUAAAACUCCUCUGGACCAGACAACCAAACUCAUCCUAAACCACUUGGUGAUUCCAAAAGGGUUAAUUUCCAGGUCACUCUUCAACAACCAGGAGAAAAACCAAAAUGACACUGGUGAAUCAAAGGCUUCUCCCCUUUCUCCAAAGAUACUGAAGACAUCUGUCAUUAAUGAAAACAUAAUAACAUGUACAUCUUCAGUAUGUUGGUUUAAAUCUUGGCAACUUGCUGCCUGGGAGCUUUUUAAGUACCAGAGCAAACUCUGCACUGGUGAAGUUUCCCACAAGUCCUUUCAUUGUGCCUUUCCUAAAUGGAUAUGAUGGCAUUGCGAAUGAGGCAAUCAAAUAAGUAUUCCUUAUACAGUUUGACAAUAGCCAGGUCUUCAGUUCACCAUUCCAAGGUAACCUAACAUGAUGGUAUUAUUCAUCUUUCUAUUGAAAUUGCUAAACAAACAAUACUUCAAAAACCUUUCCAAGGCCAAAUGAAAGUCAUUUUGCAAUGCAUCUUCAAAAUCCUUGAAAACUUAAUUUUUCACACUUUUAACCACAAAAAUCACACUUCUGCUGCACAUCUGCUGUGUCUCAAUUUGUUCAGAAAUCUUAAGAGUAAAAAAAAAUUCCCAAAGGCUUCCCUCCUCAGCUUGAUGGUAUCUGUCAAAAGCUCCUGUGGUCUCUAAAGUCCAUAGUUCAUGAAAGCUACAUCUGCAAUAUGGAGAUCCUGCGCAAGGCCAGUUCAAAAUCCUCAACUUUUCCUGGAUUACUUUGAAAAACUCUCCAGAAUGAGUUGAGAAUGUCCUGAAAAGGAUUUACUGCCAGGUAUUCUCAGUUCACCCAUAUCACCUAUUUGAGUAUCACCAGCAGGUGGUGAUCAGCUGACAACAAUGCCCUCACUCAAAGAUAUAACACAUAGAUAUCAAUAUAUAAUUACAAAAUCAGUCAGACUGACCAUCUUGUGUUAAAAUCAUUGUGCGUGUCCAGUUCCUCGCAAAGAAGUUUAAAAAGAAAACAUCACUUGUAUUAUAAGCAACCCCAUUAUUAUCCACUAAAGCUACCCAGGAGCUCAUCAGAAUCCCCAAAUGGUAUCCUUUGCAAAACAUCAUUCGGAAACUUCAAGAAGACUGAGUCAUUUAAACAACUGUUUGGUUCAUACACAACGACAACAGUCAGGACCUUCCCUCUUUCAAGUCAAAGACACACAGAGGUAACAGUCUCUCUCUUUCUCUCUCUCUCUCUCUCUCUCUCUCUCUUAGUGGGGAAAACUCUAACACAGAGGCACUCACUGGUGCAUUAGCAUUGGCACUGCAGCACAGACACCAGCUACAGGAAAUUAGAAAAAAAGCAGUUUAAACUGCUAUUAGUAGGGCAUUAAAUAGCAGUUUAAUGUCCUACUACACAUGGCACUCUUCAAAAGUUAAAGAGGAAAACUGUAGCUUGUCUUUCGGAAAUUAUAAAAUGUACAAGUGGUAAUAUUUAUGUGAACAGCCUUGUAUUUCUGUUAGAAUCAAUCUCAUGAAAAAUA